UGGGGAAUUUUGGACAAUGGGCGAAAGCCUGAUCCAGCAAUGCCGCGUGAGUGAAGAAGGCCUUCGGGUUGUAAAGCUCUUUUGUCAGGGAAGAAACGGUGAGGGCUAAUAUCCCUUGCUAAUGACGGUACCUGAAGAAUAAGCACCGGCUAACUACGUGCCAGCAGCCGCGGUAAUACGUAGGGUGCAAGCGUUAAUCGGAAUUACUGGGCGUAAAGCGUGCGCAGGCGGUUUUGUAAGUCUGAUGUGAAAUCCCCGGGCUCAACCUGGGAAUUGCAUUGGAGACUGCAAGGCUAGAAUCUGGCAGAGGGGGGUAGAAUUCCACGUGUAGCAGUGAAAUGCGUAGAUAUGUGGAGGAACACCGAUGGCGAAGGCAGCCCCCUGGGUCAAGAUUGACGCUCAUGCACGAAAGCGUGGGGAGCAAACAGGAUUAGAUACCCCCGUAGUCC
This 449-nucleotide ribosomal RNA is filed under the name uncultured bacterium. Its description in RNAcentral is "bacterial SSU rRNA". It matches the Rfam family "Bacterial small subunit ribosomal RNA", at positions 355 to 796 of the family's 1533-position model. The record is from RNAcentral.